RNAcentral lists this non-coding RNA (31 nucleotides) under Mus musculus (house mouse). Lineage: Eukaryota; Metazoa; Chordata; Mammalia; Rodentia; Muridae. The record is from RNAcentral.
UGGGUAUUUGUAGUGUUUACCUCGUCUUCCC